This 497-nucleotide ribosomal RNA is filed under the name uncultured bacterium. Its description in RNAcentral is "partial 16S ribosomal RNA". It matches the Rfam family "Bacterial small subunit ribosomal RNA", at positions 28 to 507 of the family's 1533-position model. The record is from RNAcentral.
GAUGAACGCUGGCGGCGUGCCUAAUACAUGCAAGUCGAGCGAACAGACGAGGGGCUUGCUCCUCUGACGUUAGCGGCGGACGGGUGAGUAACACGUGGAUAACCUACCUAUAAGACUGGGAUAACUUCGGGAAACCGGAGCUAAUACCGGAUAACAUAUUGAACCGCAUGGUUCAAUAGUGAAAGACGGUUUUGCUGUCACUUAUAGAUGGAUCCGCGCCGCAUUAGCUAGUUGGUAAGGUAACGGCUUACCAAGGCAACGAUGCGUAGCCGACCUGAGAGGGUGAUCGGCCACACUGGAACUGAGACACGGUCCAGACUCCUACGGGAGGCAGCAGUAGGGAAUCUUCCGCAAUGGGCGAAAGCUUGACGGAGCAACGCCGCGUGAGUGAUGAAGGUCUUCGGAUCGUAAAACGCUGUUAUUAGGGAAGAACAAAUGUGUAAGUAACUAUGCACGUCUUGACGGUACCUAAUCAGAAAGCCACGGCUAACUACGUG